Molecule: long non-coding RNA, 465 nt
Filed under: Apteryx rowi (Okarito brown kiwi)
Lineage: Eukaryota; Metazoa; Chordata; Aves; Apterygiformes; Apterygidae
Description: lncRNA (ENSARWG00000003899.1)
Source: RNAcentral
GUAUUUCAGAACAACACAGAAAUUGAAUAUGAGCACAGUUAGCAGUUAGCAACACAUUCCCAUUUGGAGGGAAUUCAAUGAUGGGUCAAACCUAAAGUUCUUAUCCAGGAAAUGAGGUCGUUGGACUGGACAGAAACAUAGCGUGGGGGAGAAAGCAGUGUUUCUGCCAUCGUCUACUAAAGUACAAAUGACUGCUUUCCGAUCGGCAGAAGAGUCUUUGUAGAAUGAGGUGAACUGUUCUUUGCAAACAAACAACCUUGCCACUUCAACUGUUAYAUUUUUCUCACCUGUUCCAGAGCUGUAUCAGGUUCAUAUCAGCUAUAUACAGGAAACAGAGAGGCUUGAAAUUUGCAUCUUCUCAGAAGGGUGGCUGAUCUCACCUGUUCCCACGUAAAGGAAUGAUGAAACUCGUACUGAAGUGCAACAACUUUGUAGAAGUUGAUUUAUUUAUAUAGCGUCUAGUUG